This is a long non-coding RNA of Pogona vitticeps (central bearded dragon), 2083 nucleotides long. The record is from Ensembl. NCBI's taxonomy places the organism in Eukaryota, Metazoa, Chordata, Lepidosauria, Squamata, Agamidae.
UCCUUCCUGUGUUAUAAAGCUUCAGCCUUUACCACAGACACCCUGGCAAACUGCCCCAGAUAGCCUUCUCACCACCUCGACUCGGUCAUAUUUACUAAUUCAGUCUGGAUAAACACAGCUGAUCAGAAGCAGCCUGUGUAUCUUGCUCAGUUCUUUCCCCUUUUCAGAGCCUCUGGCUGAUAGUAGCCAACUGUCUUAUUUGCCAGAGAUGUAACAGAGUUGUGUGUGAACAACGUGUGUCAUUGGGAGAGGAUGAUAUGAAUGGAAGCUUCCAAAACAAUGUCUUUGUGAAUUUUAAGGGCAAGAAGGAAACAUUAUGGACCUCUGUAAGUUACAAAUAGAAGAUGUGCUUCUAUGGACCCAGCUCUCUAAAGAAGACACCCAGGCACUUCCCACACCAGCAGCCACAUGAAAGGGGUUUCCUGGCAAAGAAUCCCCAGAACGGGCAACAACACCAGGUCCCAAAGGUUUUUCGGGUUGGGAUUGACAGCUAUAAAUACUCAACUAUCCCACAAACUGCACCGGAGCACAGACAGACUUCUGACUCCUGUCCUCUGAAGAUGCUGGCCACAGAGACUGGUGAAAUGUUAGGAAGAAAAACCUCAAGAACACAGCCAGACAGCCUGAAAAACCUACAACAGCCAUUGGAUCCCAGCCGUGAAAGCUUUCGAGAAUACAUUAAUCUGGACUGACAACAAGCUCUGAGAGAAUCUGAAAACAAAAAUAGGACUGUCUGUUUUUUUCCCUGAAAUCAUAUGGGAUGGAUUGAAGUGUCAGACGACUGGAGGAGGGUUAAUGUAGUCCCUAUCUUCAAAAAGGAAGAGUCUGGGAAUUACAGACCAGUCAGCCUAACAUCAGUCCCACAAAAAUUUUUGGAACAGAUUAUAAAGUGGUCACUCUGAAACCAUCUUUGAAAACAAUGUAGUAAUAACCAGAAGACAAAACAGAUUUGUCAAGAACAAAUCAUGCUAGACUAGUUUUACCUCAUUUUUUGAUCAGGUAAACUUCCUGCUGGAUGGUGGGAACACUGUGUAGACAUAAUAUAUUUUGAUGUCAGUAAAGAUUUUGACAAAGUGCCCCAUGAUACUUUGAUUAGUAAACUAACUAGGUGAGGCCUGGAUAGAAUAACUAUCAGGUGGAUAAGCCCGUUGUUACAGAAUCAUACUCAGAAAAUACUAAUCAAUGGCUGCUUCUCAAACUGAGAGGAGGUAGCAAGUGGGGGGACACAACAUCUUCAACAUUUUUAUUAAUGGCUUGAAUGAAAGGGUGCAGGAAAUACUUAUCAAAUUUGCAGAUGACAUAAAUUUGGGUGGAAUAGAAGAUAGAAACAAAAUUUUAAAAAUACCUUGAUAGGCUUGAGCACUGGACUAAAAACAACAGAAUGAAAUUUAAGAGGGCUAACUUCAAAGUACUACACCUGGGGGGGAAGCCCCAAACAAACACUUGCAAGAUAGGAGGUAUUAGCUCAGUAAUAUUACAAGUAAGAAGGAUCUUGGAAUUGUUGUAGAUCACAAGCUGAAAAUGAGCCAACAGUGUGAUGUGGCUGCAAAAAUAGGCCAGUGCUAUUUUAGGAAACCUAACUGAAGUAUAUUCUCCAAAUCCUGAGAGAUACUAGUCUCCCUCUAUUCAGCAUUCUUUUAGACUGGCUUCGAGCAAGAAGGAUGAGCUGGGGACUGGAAGUCGAGUCCUAGGUGGAAAGACUGAAAGAAUUGGGCAUGUUUAGCUUUGAGAAAAGAAAACUGAGGGGAGAUAUGAUAGCACUUUUCAAAUAUUUGAAAGGCUGUCAUACAGAGGAGGGGCACAAUCCAUUCUCAAUCAUCCCAGAGUGAUCAUCCCAAAGCCAACAGUGUGAUGUAGUUGCAGAAAAGGCAAAUGCUACUGUAGUCUUCCUUAACAUAAGUAUUGUCUCCAAAUCCUGUGGAGUACUAGAGUUCCCCUUUAUGUGUCACUGGCCAAUGAUCACCUAAUCACUAGUUUUCCUCUGAAGCCUUCCCCAGCUGGCUCCCUGAUAUUUAGCAUCUUGUAUCUAAGAUAUAGAUUUGAAGCUCUGACCAUUAUAAAAUAAAUAGUGCAUGCACAGACA